This is a transfer RNA of Ipomoea nil (Japanese morning glory), 72 nucleotides long. It matches the Rfam family "tRNA". Rfam says of the family: Transfer RNA (tRNA) molecules are approximately 80 nucleotides in length. NCBI's taxonomy places the organism in Eukaryota, Viridiplantae, Streptophyta, Magnoliopsida, Solanales, Convolvulaceae. The record is from Rfam.
GCCUCUAUAGUAUAGUGGUAGUGCAUUUACUUUGUAAGUGAAAGGUCGUGAGUUCAAUCCUCACUAGGGGUU